UUCCGGUUGAUCCUGCCGGACCUUACUGCUAUCGGGAUGAGACUAAGCCAUGCAUGUCGAGCGCUCUCAAGCUAUGUAGAGAGCGCGGCGAACGGCUCCGUAACACGUAGUUAACCUACCCUCGGGAUGGGGAUAACCCCGGGAAACUGGGAUUAAUACCCACUAGAUGAUUAUACCUGGAAUGGCUUAUCAUCGAAAGAGUCUGGAAACAUGCUUCCAGCGUCGCCCGAGGAUGGGACCGCGUCCGAUCAGGUUGUUGGUGGGGUAACGGCCUACCAAGCCUAUAACCGGUACGGGCCCUGAGAGGGGGAGCCCGGAGAUGGAAACUGAGAAAAGGUUCCAGGCCCUACGGGGUGCAGCAGGCGCGAAACCUCCACAAUGCGCGAAAGCGUGAUGGGGUUAUCCCGAGUGCCGUCCGAUGAGGAUGGCUUUUCAUCGGUGUAAGGAUCCGAUGGAAUAAAGGGGGGGCAAGACUGGUGUCAGCCGCCGCGGUAAUACCAGCCUCCUGAGUGGUAAGGACGAUUAUUUGGCCUAAAGCGUUCGUAGCCGGCUUAUCAAGUCUUUUGUUAAAUCCAACGAUUCAAUCGUUGGGCCGCAAAAGAUACUGUUAUGCUAGAGGACGGGAGAGGUCGACGGUAUUCCAGGGGUAGGGGUGAAAUCCUAUAAUCCUUGGAGGACCACCAGUGGCGAAAGGCGGUCGACUAGAACGUGCCUGACGGUGAGGGACGAAAGCUGGGGGAGCGAACCGGAUUAGAUACCCGGGUAGUCCCAGCCGUAAACGAUGCGGGCUAGUGUGGGGCAGCCACGAGCUGCUCCAGUGCGCAGAGAGUAUAAGCCCGCCGCUGGGGAGUACGGCGCAGCUGAACUAAGAUGCGGGGAGCACACAGGGUGAGCUGCGUAUGGACUCACGCCGGA
RNAcentral lists this ribosomal RNA (915 nucleotides) under uncultured archaeon. RNAcentral describes it as "bacterial SSU rRNA". It matches the Rfam family "Archaeal small subunit ribosomal RNA", at positions 4 to 828 of the family's 1478-position model. The record is from RNAcentral.